AGACAUGAAGUUAGGUCAGCAAACCCGCUGAAUUUAAGCAUAUAAGUAAGCGGAGGAUAAGAAACUAAAUAGGAUUCCCUCAGUAAUGGCGAAUGAACAGGGAUAAGCUCAGCUUGGAAAUUGGGCCCUCUGGGCUUGAAUUGUAGUCUUUCGAUGGCAUUGCCAGCGGAGGCGCAGAUGUAAGCCUCUUGGAAAAGAGCAUCAAUGAGGGUGAGAGUCCCGUUUGUCAUCUGCAGUCCCCCGUUUACGGUGUGCUUUCUAAGAGUCACGUUCCUUGGGAUUGGAGCGCAAAUUGGGUGGUAAAUUUCAUCUAAAGCUAAAUAUUGGUUCGAGACCGAUAGCAAACAAGUACCAUGAGGGAAAGGUGAAAAGGACUUUGAAAAGAGAGUUAAAAGUGCCUGAAAUUGCUGAAAGGGAAGCGAAUGGAACCAGUCUUCUUGGUGAGAUUGUUGUGCGCUAUUGUGAUUGCUUUCUGCUUCAACGCAAGUGUUGCAGUUUGUUUUGAGCAUGACGCGCACUUUGUUUCUCACCUCGUGUGUCACCGUCGGUUCAGAUUUGAGGAAAACUCUAGGGACAUGGUUAAUCGCUCGCGAGUGAUUGAACGUGCCUGGUAGAACUCAUGUCUAAACUGAUUUCCGCAUGUCUGGUCGCAGUGUUCUCAUUACCUGCGUCUGGGUUCGUGGCUUGUAGCUUCUGUUACUCGUCGCGGGCUUCUGGGCCUGGUCGUGGAGCAUCUCCCUGACAUUAGUACGAUGACAAAAUGGUUUCAUUCGACCCGUCUUGAAACACGGACCAAGGAGUCUAACAUAUGUGCAAGUUCACGGGUGUUAAACCUGAUUGCGCAAUGAAAGUGACUGCUGGGAUAUUUGCACCAGCAACCGACCAAUCAAUUGUGAGAGGUUUGAGUAUGAGCAUAUCUGUUAGGACCCGAAAGAUGGUGAACUAUGCGUGAGAAGGGUGAAGUCAGGGGAAACUCUGAUGGAGGCUCGUAGCGAUACUGACGUGCAAAUCGUUCGUCAUACUUGCGUAUAGGGGCGAAAGACUAAUCGAACCAUCUAGUAGCUGGUUCCCUCCGAAGUUUCCCUCAGGAUAGCUGGAGUUGAACAGUUUUAUCAGGUAAAGCGAAUGAUUAGAGGAAUCGGGGACGCGUUGUUCUCGACCUAUUCUCAAACUUUAAAUGGGUAAGAUCCAGUGGUUACUUGGGUGAACUUCUGGGAUAAAUGACAACUCUAAGUGGGCCAUUUUUGGUAAGCAGAACUGGCGAUGAGGGAUGAACCUAACGUUGGGUUAAGGUGCUU
This 1298-nucleotide ribosomal RNA is filed under the name Karlodinium veneficum. Its description in RNAcentral is "LSU rRNA". It matches the Rfam family "Eukaryotic large subunit ribosomal RNA", at positions 1 to 1190 of the family's 3401-position model. The record is from RNAcentral. Lineage: Eukaryota; Dinophyceae; Gymnodiniales; Kareniaceae.